Molecule: long non-coding RNA, 1882 nt
Organism: Thamnophis elegans (Western terrestrial garter snake)
Lineage: Eukaryota; Metazoa; Chordata; Lepidosauria; Squamata; Natricidae
Exons: 2
Source: RefSeq, a predicted model, not a curated record
ACUCGAGUAUAUACAGUAAUAUUGCAUAAAAUUGACAGUUAUUUUGUUUUUAUUUAAAGUCAAACAUUUUGUCUGUGGAAUCUAGGUUUUCUAUACAAGCUGAACAUUGCUAAGUGUUUUGAGAUUGAGAUGCCUCUCUAAAUUGGGAUCAGACCAGCAUCAUCUUGUGAUAUUCCCAGAGCACUGUAUUAUUAUUCAUAUUUUUUUUAUAAAACAGCCUUUCAGUUGUGACCUGUAAUCUGAAUUACAUACUUUAUCCCCUUUGCCAAUCAAAGUGUAAUUUGCAUUUACUUAAAACCAAAGACUUUUAAAAACUCCUUUUAAAAAAAAUAAUAUUUUGAUUUUUAAAAAAUAUCCUGUUAAAUUGAUCUGUCUCCCCAAAGGGUGAGAGACAAGAAGAGACUGAUUCUCCUAGUCACCUAACCCAAUAUUAUAGGGCUAGGAGGUAAUAUUACAGAACAUAUUUAGUCAAUGUAAUUUUUAAAUUUUAAUCUGCCAGAAAAGCAAUAAAGGUUGUUGGAGCUCUAUCUCUCAUUCAUGCUGGCAUUAGGGGGAAAAUUUAAGAUGAAUGCAUCACCAGAAGAUUAGUGUGGGCAGCAGUAAUUGUCAAGUUUCACUCCACAAGGCAGGAGGCAGAGUUAUGAUUGUAGACAGAGAGGACUUUUAGGAGAGGAACUCCAUUCUUCAGACCCAGUCUUGAUGCAACAAUGAUUGAUUCUGAAGUUGGCAGUUUUAAGACAGGCUGAGAUUUGAUUGAUUGUGCCAUUAUGCUUACAUAGUUAUUAACUAACUAUUAAAUUAGCUUUUAAUUGUUAAUUGUUAUUGCAUUUUAUCUUUUUAUUAUAUUGUGAGCUACUCAGUCAUUUGGAGUUGGGCAGUGUGGCAACCAGUGGUGGGUUCCGGAUCCCGUUCCAACCGUACCAGUUGCGUGCACAUGGACCACAUGGGCCCGGCGGCAUGCACAUGGACGCACGCAGCGUCCGCAUGCGUCUUAGCGUCUCCCCAAGGCUUUGCGACGCUCCAACUGCUCAGCAGAGUGUUGCACAGGCACUGUACGCGCCAUGCGUGGAAGCGCAGAAGAUUGACUGAGAAAAAUGGAAAGUCAUAUUCAUUCUUCCAGCUGUGGGGUGAAGUUUACAGUGAACAGCCUGCCAUUUUGCCUUGCAACUUCGUAGAAGAUAGAAGAAAAGCAAUAGUUUGUGAUGAGGAGCUAAUUUUCAUUCCCUGAAGUGUCGUAAUGUAUUAAAGUGAAUGUGACCAUCUUUUAAGAGAAGAUAAAUGAUCAUGUCUUAGCUUAAAAAGGGAUUUGUUGUACAGUUUCAGAAAAUAUGGCUUGGUCCCUGUUAUGCUAGAUAGAGGUAUGGUUGCUUUUCUCUACAAUCCUGCAAUAAAUGAUAUUUAACAACAGAACUGAUUUAGUGAUAACCUCUUUGAAAUACCCAAUGGUCCCUUCUUGGUAUACUUCUAUCAUAGCAUAUUCAAAAUAGACACCAUGGAAGGUGAAUCAUUUUAAGAUAACCAUGAGCCAGUGUCUAUCUGAAAUGGAUAAAUUUGUGAAACACCAACCAUCCAUAUCCUUCAUUUACAUGAGAAAUGCUACUUUCUUUGAAUCAGUUAUAAUAGCAAAAAUGUGGCUGGGCCUGGUACUAUGGAACCAGUCACAAAUUGCAUGUAUGCAAGUUCUAAGUUAAGUUAAAGGGGAAGAAGAAAGCCAACAUAUUUCUAUACUAUAAUCUUGAGCACAUGCCUGAGAAAUGGUCCUGAAUCUUGUUUGGAAAGGAUAAAUAUGAAAAGAGACUGUCUAAGAUCAAGAAACAGAAGAAAUUAAGCUGUAUGUUAGAAUAAACUCUGAAAACUACCAAGAAAUGAAGAGGAGCCAAGC